Molecule: non-coding RNA, 1953 nt
Organism: Microcebus murinus (gray mouse lemur)
Lineage: Eukaryota; Metazoa; Chordata; Mammalia; Primates; Cheirogaleidae
Source: RefSeq, a predicted model, not a curated record
UGACCUUUAGCCUCCUGUAUAACUAAUAUAUGUACCAAGCUUCUCAGCGAUUAUCUCUCUCCCUCUUCUAGAAUGUGAUCCUCACUCAGUGUCUGAUCCAUGGACAAACGAGGGAGUUCUGGGCCCCAAGCUGGCUGCAGGGGUGGGGGCCGCCCCCACCUCCCACAGGGAAGGAAAUUAUACGUCAGUGCUGGAAAUACCUGUGUCAAAGGAAUGGGAACGGCAAACCUUCCAGUCACAUUUUAUUUGUUCUGGGACCAUGAAAAAAAGGCCAAGAGGGAAAAGCCCCACGGCUUUGCGGAAGUGAUGUGUCUCCCGCCUUCCCUUCUGCGUCCAGGAUACCUGGAGGCUGGCACCGUCACUAUCCCCAUUUCAGAGAUGAGGAAACCGAAGCUCGGGAAAGUUACGCCACUCGCCCCGGGACUCUGGCUUCUGGGGAGGUCGCUGCUCAGGCUCCUGGCUCCAGGCAUCUCCGCCGGUUCCCCUGCUCUGCUGCCCCAUCACCCAUCAGUGCUGCUUCCCCAUCCAGAAAGCUCGGGGAGCCCAGCCCUGGGAAAAUGACACGAUCUUCCCCCUGGGUGCAGCUGGCUCUUGUCCCUAUUGGUUAACUGUCUCUGGGAGGGACAGCAGGCGGAGGGGAGGCGGGAUGUGAGCCGGCGAGACGGGGGGCCACCCCCAGGGCUGUGUGCACAGUGCCAGCACCCAGCACCCUUGGCUGGUACCUGGCACCUCGGGCCGCAUCCGGCUGGUGCAGAAAGUGAAUAAUGAGGACGAGACCUUCAAUUUAGUUACAUGUUGGUGGCGCUGAUGAAAUCUUCUGUUCCUUCUCUCAUUUGUUCCUUUGACUCAUACAGAAACCUUUAGUUAGAAGACGAAUGGAUGAACAAACGAUGGGGUCAGGAAAGGGUGUGAAGAGACCAUUUAAUAAUUUCAUUUGUCUCUGCUCUCCUGACUCCUGCCUGUCAUGGUAGAAAACUGUAGAAAUGGAAAAUAAGCCAUUUAUAAGAGCCAUGAGGGAAAAGCUGCAAGAGAAAAGCAAGUGGGCUAUAAGGAGGUUCAGCUCUGGACCCAAACUGCAUUUGGGAUUGACUUUGGUUUCAAGGAAUUUGAGAAAUUUGAAUAGGGUCAUUGUUUUCUCCCCUAAAACGAGUACCACUAAGUCAGAUGACAAUGUAUAAUGUGUCCUCAUGAAAGGAAGCUUAUUAAUGAAAACCCAAUAUAUUUAUUGCUUCAGACCUCCAUGUUUUGGGUUGAUCAAGGAGCACCAGGCUUGCUUUCUCGCUCUGGCAGCAAAUCUCUAACAGUUUCCUGAGACAGGAAGAGGCCAUGAGCAGGCAGAGGUACCCGCAGGCACCGUGUGAAGAAGGAGCAGAGAUGCAGCUACACGCCCGGGAACGCCAAGGACAGCCGGUCAGCACCAGGCACUCAGACACGCCCCGGAGGAGAGUCCCCCUCACGGCCCUCAGAGGACACCAACCCGCUGACACUUGGUCUUGGGCUUCUGGCCUCCAGAACCGAGAGAGAACAAGCCUCUGUUGUUGCAAAGCCCCCGUGUGUGGCCUUGGUUACAGCGGCCCCAGGAAGCCAACGCACUGGCCCCUCACGUCGUCGAGAAUUGUCAAGGUAGAGGAUAGAAGGAGGAGUCUGUGGAGACCAGUGACUUCACGCUUGUCACCACGUCCAGUUUGUGAAGCUGCUGAUCAUGCAGGAAACACAGAGGAUACUCCCCGUGGGGGGCACCGGCCAAGGGGCCCCAGGAGGGAGCCCAGUGUGACGAAGGAGAGACGCAGUUUACUCGGGAGCCUGGAAGAGAGGCUGGCAUCCUAAUGUCAGAAUGGAGAAACAUUCACCGGGUAGAGCUAUACAGAAAGGAAUAAGCCAAUCACAGCUUCUAUGCAUUGGACUACAUGGUAUCUUUGGAAAGUUUACAGGACAAAAGCCACUGCAAAAUGC